AGAGUUUGAUCCUGGCUCAGAAUGAACGCUGGCGGCGUGCUUAACACAUGCAAGUCGUACGCGAAAGGCGCUUUCGGGUGCUGAGUAGAGUGGCGCACGGGUGAGUAACGCGUGGGUAAUCUACCCUUGGAUCUUGGAUAACAUAUCGAAAGGUGUGCUAAUACGGGAUGAAGUCUUGCUGGAUGAGUUUGGUGAGAUGAAAGGCCGCGCAAGCGGUUGUCCGAGGAUGAGCCUGCGUCCCAUUAGUUAGUUGGCGGGGUAAAGGCCCACCAAGACUGAGAUGGGUAGCUGGUCUGAGAGGAUGAUCAGCCACACUGGAACUGGAACACGGUCCAGACUCCUACGGGAGGCAGCAGUGAGGAAUUUUGCGCAAUGGGGGAAACCCUGACGCAGCAACGCCGCGUGAGUGAUGAAGGCCUUCGGGUCGUAAAGCUCUGUCGAGUGGGAAGAAACAGUUCAGGUUAAUAUCCUGAACCUUGACGGUACCACUAAAGGAAGCACCGGCUAACUCCGUGCCAGCAGCCGCGGUAAUACGGGGGGUGCAAGCGUUAUUCGGAAUUAUUGGGCGUAAAGGGUGCGUAGGCGGUUUUGUAAGUCAGAUGUGAAAUCCCGGGGCUUAACUUCGGAACUGCAUUUGAUACUGCAAGACUUGAGUAUGGGAGAGGAGAGCGGAAUUCCUGGUGUAGAGGUGAAAUUCGUAGAUAUCAGGAGGAACACCGGUGGCGAAGGCGGCUCUCUGGACCAAUACUGACGCUGAGGCACGAAGGCGUGGGGAGCAAACAGGAUUAGAUACCCUGGUAGUCG
Molecule: ribosomal RNA, 804 nt
Filed under: uncultured bacterium
Lineage: Bacteria
Description: bacterial SSU rRNA
Rfam family: Bacterial small subunit ribosomal RNA
Source: RNAcentral